This is a long non-coding RNA of Sinocyclocheilus rhinocerous, 214 nucleotides long. RefSeq lists it as uncharacterized. The transcript is spliced from 3 exons. The record is from RefSeq and is a predicted model, not a curated record. NCBI's taxonomy places the organism in Eukaryota, Metazoa, Chordata, Actinopteri, Cypriniformes, Cyprinidae.
UCCUGCGCACCAACCUGCAGAGGACCCGCCAGAGACUGCGCUCGUACAACAGACACACGCUGAUCGCUGAUCCGUACGAGGACGGCUGGAACGAGAUGCUCCUCAAACGGAAGAAAAUGAAGGAGCUGGAAAAGAAGAUAUCGCAGAUGAACAAUUACCUCACUGUUCCCGCUCCACCCCCUGAUUCACCGACCAUCGCUCGAGCUCGACUGGC